AUUGAACGCUGGCGGCAUGCCUUACACAUGCAAGUCGAACGGCAGCACGGGAGCAAUCCUGGUGGCGAGUGGCGAACGGGUGAGUAAUGUAACGGAACGUGCCCAGCCGUGGGGGAUAACGUAGCGAAAACUACGCCAAUACCGCAUACGAUCUAUGGAUGAAAGCGGGGGAUCGCAAGAACUUGCGCGAUUGGAGCCGACGAUAUCAGAUUAGGUAGUUGGUGGGGUAAAGGCUCACCAAGCCGACGAUCUGUAGCUGGUCUGAGAGGACGACCAGCAACACUGGGACUGAGACACGGCCCAGACUCCUACGGGAGGCAGCAGUGGGGAAUUUUGGACAAUGGGCGCAAGCCUGAUCCAGCAAUGCCGCGUGCAGGAUGAAGGCCUUCGGGUUGUAAACUGCUUUUGUACGGAACGAAACGGUGAGCUCUAAUACAGUUUGCUAAUGACGGUACCGUAAGAAUAAGCACCGGCUAACUACGUGCCAGCCGCCGCUGUAA
RNAcentral lists this ribosomal RNA (500 nucleotides) under uncultured bacterium. RNAcentral's name for it is "partial 16S ribosomal RNA". It matches the Rfam family "Bacterial small subunit ribosomal RNA", at positions 30 to 523 of the family's 1533-position model. The record is from RNAcentral.